CCUACGGGAUGCAGCAGUGGGGAAUAUUGGGCAAUGGGCGCAAGCCUGACCCAGCAACGCCGCGUGAAGGAAGAAGGCUUUCGGGUUGUAAACUUCUUUUGUCAGGGAAGAGUAGAAGACGGUACCUGACGAAUCAGCCACGGCUAACUACGUGCCAGCAGCCGCGGUAAUACGCAGGUGGCAAGCGUUGUCCGGAUUUACUGGGUGUAAAGGGCGUGUAGCCGGGUUGACAAGUCAGAUGUGAAAUCCUGCGGCUUAACCGCAGAACUGCAUUUGAAACUGUUGAUCUUUAGUACUGGAGAGGCAGACGGAAUUCCUAGUGUAGCGGUGAAAUGCGUAGAUAUUAGGAGGAACACCAGUGGCGAAGGCGGUCUGCUGGACAGCAACUGACGGUGAGGCGCGAAAGCGUGGGGAGCAAACAGGAUUAGAUACCCCGGUAGUC
RNAcentral lists this ribosomal RNA (442 nucleotides) under uncultured bacterium. RNAcentral describes it as "partial 16S ribosomal RNA". It matches the Rfam family "Bacterial small subunit ribosomal RNA", at positions 338 to 795 of the family's 1533-position model. The record is from RNAcentral.